This 465-nucleotide ribosomal RNA is filed under the name uncultured bacterium. Its description in RNAcentral is "partial 16S ribosomal RNA". It matches the Rfam family "Bacterial small subunit ribosomal RNA", at positions 338 to 795 of the family's 1533-position model. The record is from RNAcentral.
CCUACGGGAGGCAGCAGUGGGGAAUAUUGCGCAAUGGGCGAAAGCCUGACGCAGCAACGCCGCGUGCGGGAUGAAGGUCUUCGGAUCGUAAACCUCUGUCAGCAGGGAAGAACGGUCACUGUGCUAAUCAGCAGUAAAUUGACGGUACCUGCAAAGGAAGCACCGGCUAACUCCGUGCCAGCAGCCGCGGUAAUACGGAGGGUGCGAGCGUUAAUCGGAAUUAUUGGGCGUAAAGCGCUCGUAGGCGGUAUGUUAAGUCCAGGGUGAAAUCCCCGCGCUCAACGUGGGAACUGCCUUUGAAACUAGCAAACUGGAGUGUGUGAGAGGUUAGUGGAAUUCCAGGUGUAGGAGUGAAAUCCGUAGAUAUAUGGAAGAACACCAGAGGCGAAGGCGACUAUCUGGCACAAAACUGACGCUGAGGAGCGAAAGCGUGGGUAGCAAACAGGAUUAGAUACCCCUGUAGUC